AGACAAUACCUCAGAGUGAUGCAAGACAGAAGCACCACCAUAGUAAGAUCCGCCACCGGAGACCAGGCAAGACAACCGCAAUCAGCCAACAGCGGGCGUCGCCAGAAACACGUCAUCCCAAGGGGGAAACACCUACCCUGCCCUCCUGCAGCAGCCGAACGCUCACACUUCCACACAGGGAUAAAAGAACACAGACUGGGCUGUGAGAAUUGUGAGGUGGACUGAAAAUGAAUAAUUUGAAACAAGGUAUCUUUACUGGCUAUAAUACAAUUGGCACUAGUAACAAGCCCUAGGCAAAGCAGGUAAGGCAGAACAGUUCCUACUUUGGCUUACACAUCUGCCUAGCCUGCCUGAUUUUCCGUACUAUGUCAGACAUUUGAUGAACCGACUUAUUAGAAGGGUGGAAUCCUGUGACAGUACCACACUGAAAGUCACUGAGCUUUUCUACUGCGAAUGUUUGAAAACGGAGACUGCAUUGGUGUAUACCUGCUUUUAUGUACCUGUUAAUUAGCAAUGGUAUAGCCAAACAUCUUAAUUCGAAGGAGUGUCCCCACCUACUUUUGGUCAUGUUGCGUAUUUAAAUAAAUGGUUUAUGGAGGCUAUUUAAAAAAAAUAA
This is a long non-coding RNA of Pseudophryne corroboree (corroboree frog), 616 nucleotides long. RefSeq lists it as uncharacterized. Lineage: Eukaryota; Metazoa; Chordata; Amphibia; Anura; Myobatrachidae. The record is from RefSeq and is a predicted model, not a curated record. The transcript has 3 exons.